This 255-nucleotide ribosomal RNA is filed under the name uncultured bacterium. RNAcentral describes it as "partial 16S ribosomal RNA". It matches the Rfam family "Bacterial small subunit ribosomal RNA", at positions 524 to 776 of the family's 1533-position model. The record is from RNAcentral.
UACGUAGGGUGCGAGCGUUGUCCGGAAUUAUUGGGCGUAAAGAGCUCGUAGGCGGUGUGUCGCGUCGGCCGUGAAAACCUGCAGCUUAACUGUGGGCGUGCGGUCGAUACGGGCAUCACUGGAGUUCGGCAGGGGAGACUGGAAUUCCUGGUGUAGCGGUGAAAUGCGCAGAUAUCAGGAGGAACACCGGUGGCGAAGGCGGGUCUCUGGGCCGAUACUGACGCUGAGGCGCGAAAGCCCAGGGGAGCGAACGGG